CCCUUAGAUGUUCUGGGCCGCACGCGCGCUACACUGAUGAAUUCAACGAGCUCCUAACCUAGGCCGAAGGGUCCGGGUAAUCUUUGAAAUUUCAUCGUGAUGGGGAUAGAUUAUUGCAAUUAUUAAUCUUCAACGAGGAAUUCCUAGUAAGCGCAAGUCAUCAGCUCGCGUUGAUUACGUCCCUGCCCUUUGUACACACCGCCCGUCGCUCCUACCGAUUGAAUGGUCCGGUGAAAUGUUCGGACCGCGACAAGGCGGACGGUUCGCUGUCAGCUUUGCUGCGGGAAGUUCAUUAAACCUUAUCAUUUAGAGGAAGGAGAAGUCGUANCA
This 330-nucleotide ribosomal RNA is filed under the name uncultured eukaryote. RNAcentral describes it as "partial 18S ribosomal RNA". It matches the Rfam family "Eukaryotic small subunit ribosomal RNA", at positions 1470 to 1796 of the family's 1831-position model. The record is from RNAcentral.